UACGAAGGGGGCUAGCGUUGUUCGGAAUUACUGGGCGUAAAGCGCAUGUAGGCGGCGAUUCAAGUCGGGGGUGAAAUCCCAGGGCUCAACCCUGGAACUGCCUUCGAUACUGUCUUGCUAGAGUGUGGAAGAGGUAAGUGGAACUGCAAGCGUAGAGGUGAAAUUCGUAGAUAUUUGCAAGAACACCAGUGGCGAAGGCGGCUUACUGGUCCAUUACUGACGCUGAGAUGCGAAAGCGUGGGGAGCAAACAGG
RNAcentral lists this ribosomal RNA (253 nucleotides) under uncultured bacterium. RNAcentral describes it as "partial 16S ribosomal RNA". It matches the Rfam family "Bacterial small subunit ribosomal RNA", at positions 524 to 776 of the family's 1533-position model. The record is from RNAcentral.